Molecule: microRNA precursor, 134 nt
Filed under: Lotus japonicus
Lineage: Eukaryota; Viridiplantae; Streptophyta; Magnoliopsida; Fabales; Fabaceae
Description: miR11177 stem-loop (lja-MIR11177)
Source: miRBase by way of RNAcentral
GUGCGUGUUUGGAUACACAAUGGAACCACGGUGAGCCAAAUCACGAUGGAUAGAAACAACUUUCCUUUGCUUUUGGAUUGUCCAAUGUGAUUUUGACUUUACUGUGAUUUCUUGUCGUCUAUCCAAACAUUCAC